RNA transcript from Anolis carolinensis (green anole), 479 nucleotides. RefSeq lists it as uncharacterized. The record is from RefSeq and is a predicted model, not a curated record. NCBI's taxonomy places the organism in Eukaryota, Metazoa, Chordata, Lepidosauria, Squamata, Anolidae. The transcript has 2 exons.
CAGAGAUAUAUGGUAUUCGAGCUUAUUAAUAAUCGUUACGUAUGAUUAUGUUGUUUGAAUAUUAGGUCCAUGGAUGUGUCAGGGUUGGCGACGGAAGGUACGGGUUGUGUGAUGGACCUGCCGGGACUUGGGGGCGGGGCAAGGGGCGUGGCCUGGCGCGUGAGGGCCGGGGAAGGGAACAGCCAAGAUGGCGGCCGGGCAGUGGCCCAUGUACAUGCUGGACUACGGCGGCCUCAAUGUUCCGCUUCCGGGAGCCAUGAAUUAUUCGGACCUCAGUUUCUGAACCAGAACCUCUGAACAAAAGAAAACAAAAGAAAUAAUGAACGGUGUGUAAUUUUCAUUUGUACAAAGUGUAUAUUAUUCCAAUAUGUAUUGAUGCCUUUCAGUUUUUCCAAUGAUUUUUACACUAUAUUCCUGCUGCCAGGGCCUUUUUAAAUAAAAAAAGAAUAAGAAGGGUUGCCUUGCUCUGAAAAAUCAAA